This 21-nucleotide small nuclear RNA is filed under the name Arabidopsis thaliana (thale cress). Its description in RNAcentral is "snRNA_09498". Lineage: Eukaryota; Viridiplantae; Streptophyta; Magnoliopsida; Brassicales; Brassicaceae. The record is from RNAcentral.
AUUUUGCAAGUCUAGAUAAGA